CAAACGGUUCUUUUAAGAGCCACUUACAUAACAGUGAAGAGUAUG
Non-coding RNA from Danio rerio (zebrafish), 45 nucleotides. The record is from Rfam. Lineage: Eukaryota; Metazoa; Chordata; Actinopteri; Cypriniformes; Danionidae.